AUACGGAAGGGGCAAGCGUUGUUCGGAGUCAUUGGGCGUAAAGGGCGCGUAGGCGGUCUUGUUUGUCUGCUGUGAAAGUCCACGGCUCACCCGUGGAGAGUCGGUAGAAACGGCAAGACUUGAGGCUGGGAGGGUUGGUGGAAUUCCCUGUGUAGCGGUGAAAUGCGUAGAUACGGGGGAGAACACUCGUGGCGAAGGCGGCCAGCUGGCCCAGUCCUGACGCUGAGGCGCGACAGCGUGGGGAGCAAACAGGA
Molecule: ribosomal RNA, 254 nt
Filed under: uncultured prokaryote
Description: partial 16S ribosomal RNA
Rfam family: Bacterial small subunit ribosomal RNA
Source: RNAcentral